RNAcentral lists this RNase P RNA (429 nucleotides) under Nocardiopsaceae bacterium. RNAcentral describes it as "RNase P RNA component class A". It matches the Rfam family "Bacterial RNase P class A". From Rfam's summary of the family: Ribonuclease P (RNase P) is a ubiquitous endoribonuclease, found in archaea, bacteria and eukarya as well as chloroplasts and mitochondria. Its best characterised activity is the generation of mature 5'-ends of tRNAs by cleaving the 5'-leader elements of precursor-tRNAs. Lineage: Bacteria; Bacillati; Actinomycetota; Actinomycetes; Streptosporangiales; Nocardiopsidaceae. The record is from RNAcentral.
UGAGUCGGCCGGGCGGUCGCGCCAGGUUCCGGGGCCCAGGUUCCGGGGCCGGUGAGGAAGGUCCGGGCUCCACAGGGCAGGGUGGUCGGUAACGCCGACCCGGGGCGACCCGCGGGACAGUGCCACAGAAAGCAGACCGCCCCGCCAUUCCCCAGGAAAGGCGGGGUAAGGGUGAAACGGUGGUGUAAGAGACCACCAGCGCCGCGGGUGACCGCGGCGGCUCGGUAAACCCCACCCGGAGCAAGGUCAAGAGGGCCGCGCCGCUUCGCNNNNNNNNNNGGGGCGGCCUGCGCGAGCGUUCGAGGGCGGCCCGCCCGAUGCCCGCGGGUAGACCGCACCGAGGCUGCCGGCAACGGCAGUCCCAGAUGGAUGACCGUCGCCCCGCUUGACGCGGGGGCACAGAACCCGGCCUACAGGCCGGCUCACCCA